This 466-nucleotide ribosomal RNA is filed under the name uncultured bacterium. RNAcentral's name for it is "partial 16S ribosomal RNA". It matches the Rfam family "Bacterial small subunit ribosomal RNA", at positions 28 to 507 of the family's 1533-position model. The record is from RNAcentral.
GAUGAACGCUGGCGGCGUGCUUAACACAUGCAAGUCGAACGAUGAAGCCCAGCUUGCUGGGUGGAUUAGUGGCGAACGGGUGAGUAACACGUGAGUAACCUGCUCUUAACUCUGGGAUAAGCCUGGGAAACUGGGUCUAAUACCGGAUAGGAGCGCCUACCGCAUGGUGGGUGUUGGAAAGAUUUAUCGGUUUUGGAUGGACUCGCGGCCUAUCAGCUUGUUGGUGAGGUAAUGGCUCACCAAGGCGACGACGGGUAGCCGGCCUGAGAGGGUGACCGGCCACACUGGGACUGAGACACGGCCCAGACUCCUACGGGAGGCAGCAGUGGGGAAUAUUGCACAAUGGGCGAAAGCCUGAUGCAGCGACGCCGCGUGAGGGAUGACGGCCUUCGGGUUGUAAACCUCUUUCAGUAGGGAAGAAGCGAAAGUGACGGUACCUGCAGAAGAAGCACCGGCUAACUACGUG